This 705-nucleotide ribosomal RNA is filed under the name uncultured bacterium. Its description in RNAcentral is "bacterial SSU rRNA". It matches the Rfam family "Bacterial small subunit ribosomal RNA", at positions 70 to 748 of the family's 1533-position model. The record is from RNAcentral.
AUUUUAGUGCUUGCACUAAAUGAAACUAGAUACAAGCGAGCGGCGGACGGGUGAGUAACACGUGGGUAACCUGCCCAAGAGACUGGGAUAACACCUGGAAACAGAUGCUAAUACCGGAUAACAACACUAGACGCAUGUCUAGAGUUUGAAAGAUGGUUCUGCUAUCACUCUUGGAUGGACCUGCGGUGCAUUAGCUAGUUGGUAAGGUAACGGCUUACCAAGGCAAUGAUGCAUAGCCGAGUUGAGAGACUGAUCGGCCACAUUGGGACUGAGACACGGCCCAAACUCCUACGGGAGGCAGCAGUAGGGAAUCUUCCACAAUGGACGAAAGUCUGAUGGAGCAACGCCGCGUGAGUGAAGAAGGGUUUCGGCUCGUAAAGCUCUGUUGGUAGUGAAGAAAGAUAGAGGUAGUAACUGGCCUUUAUUUGACGGUAAUUACUUAGAAAGUCACGGCUAACUACGUGCCAGCAGCCGCGGUAAUACGUAGGUGGCAAGCGUUGUCCGGAUUUAUUGGGCGUAAAGCGAGUGCAGGCGGUUCAAUAAGUCUGAUGUGAAAGCCUUCGGCUCAACCGGAGAAUUGCAUCAGAAACUGUUGAACUUGAGUGCAGAAGAGGAGAGUGGAACUCCAUGUGUAGCGGUGGAAUGCGUAGAUAUAUGGAAGAACACCAGUGGCGAAGGCGGCUCUCUGGUCUGCAACUGACGCUG